GAUGAACGCUGGCGGCGUGCCUAACACAUGCAAGUCGAACGGAGAUUCCGGACGGAUGUUUUCGGAUGGAAGACUGUAAUUAUUUGUGGCGGACGGGUGAGUAACGCGUGGGCAACCUGCCUUAUACAGGGGGAUAGCAGCUGGAAACGGCUGGUAAGACCGCAUAAGUCGGUUAAAUCGCAUGAUUUGAUCGGGUAAUGAGCAAUCAGGUAUAGGAUGGGCCUGCGUCCGUUUAGCCAGUUGGCAGGGUAAAAGCCUACCAUAGCGACGAUCGGUAGCCGGACUAAGAGGUCGGACGGCCACAUUCGGGCUGAGACACGGCCGAAACUCGUACGGGAGGCGGCAAUGGUGGAUAUUGCACAAUCGAGGAAACUAUGAUGCGGCGACGCCGCGUAAGUGAAGAAGUAUUUCGGUAAGUAAAGCUCUAUCAGCAGGGAAGAUGAUGGCGGUAACUGACUAAGAAGCCCCGGCUAACUACGUG
This 481-nucleotide ribosomal RNA is filed under the name uncultured bacterium. Its description in RNAcentral is "partial 16S ribosomal RNA". It matches the Rfam family "Bacterial small subunit ribosomal RNA", at positions 28 to 507 of the family's 1533-position model. The record is from RNAcentral.